UACGAGGGGUGCAAGUGUUUGCUCGGAAUUAUUUGGGCGUAAAGGGUAGGUAGGUGGUCUCAUUUGUCUAGGGUGAAAGCCUUGAGCUUAACUCAAGAAGUGCCCUAGAAACGGUGAGACUGGAGUCUUGGAGAGGGUCGUGGAAUUCCCGGUGUAGCGGUGAAAUGCGUAGAGAUCGGGAGGAACACCAGCGGCGAAGGCGGGUUGCUGGGCUGACACUGACGCUGAAGCGCGAAAGCUAGGGGAGCGAACGGG
This 255-nucleotide ribosomal RNA is filed under the name uncultured bacterium. RNAcentral's name for it is "partial 16S ribosomal RNA". It matches the Rfam family "Bacterial small subunit ribosomal RNA", at positions 524 to 776 of the family's 1533-position model. The record is from RNAcentral.